GAUGAACGCUGGCGGCGUGCCUAAUACAUGCAAGUCGAGCGAAGCGGGGACAGGGGAGUAACACGUGGAUAACCUACUAUACGACUGUGAUAACUUCGGGAAACCGGAGCUAAACCGGAUACUUAUAGAUGUAUCCGCGCUGCAUUAGCUAGUUGGUAAGGUAACGUGUUACCAAGGCAACGAUGCCUAGCCGACCUGAGAGGGUGAUGGGCGACACUGGAACGGAUACACGUUCUAGACUCCGACGCGAGGCAGCAGUAGGGAAGCUGCCGCAAGGGGCGAAAGCCUGACGGGGAAACGCCGCGUGAGUGAUGAAGGUCUUCGGAUCGUAAAAAUCUGUUAUGAGGGAAGCGGUACCUAAUCAGAAAGCCACGGCUAACUACGUGCCAGCAGCCGCGGUAAUUC
Molecule: ribosomal RNA, 405 nt
Filed under: uncultured bacterium
Lineage: Bacteria
Description: partial 16S ribosomal RNA
Rfam family: Bacterial small subunit ribosomal RNA
Source: RNAcentral